CAAGUCAAUCAAACACCCACAGAGACGCUCAGAGUACGUUACAUGUCUCUUUUCAUUAUCUCCUGAAUUAUAUUGUAUAACUUAGAUAACUAAUACCUUUUUUAUUUAUUUCAAAUUAAAGACAGAAUGGUUGAGGGAAAAGGUCAUGCAAAAAGACCGAAUCAAAGCUAUCUAAGAGACAAUAGGAGGAUUUCUCCGUGAGCAAGUGAUCAAUCCAAACGGCG
Molecule: long non-coding RNA, 224 nt
Filed under: Sorghum bicolor (sorghum)
Lineage: Eukaryota; Viridiplantae; Streptophyta; Magnoliopsida; Poales; Poaceae
Description: long non-coding RNA (SBIC_LNC016421)
Source: RNAcentral